Molecule: non-coding RNA, 3921 nt
Organism: Podarcis lilfordi (Lilford's wall lizard)
Lineage: Eukaryota; Metazoa; Chordata; Lepidosauria; Squamata; Lacertidae
Source: the annotation of a GenBank genome assembly
GGGGGAGGGAAAUCGCCCAUAUAGACUCACACAAUCUGCCCAAUGUUCAGUUUCUGGAAUCGUCUGUUUCCCCCUUUCUGCCUGGAGGGAAGUGUGAGUUACCUAUCGAGAGCAAUGCUGAGGAAGUGCUGUAACUGAGCAGCAGCAAAUACAGGUCUGGCUCAUGUUUUGUCUAAUUUUGAUCAUAGUUCGUGUGAUGUCUUGGCUGCCACUUUAUAUUGAGUAGGGAAGAAGAGAUGUUCCUGCCAAAGCACAGCUAUGUUGAAUUUCUGAAUUUAAGCGGCCUUAUUUCAGCCGCAGGAAGACAAAAAACCAUUUUUACAGAUAUUUCAGGGGUUCUGUCUUCAAAAAUUGGUGAGAUACUCUAUACUUUCUUAUCUCUAUGAGCAUCGCAGCCCCUAGGUCUAUGACAACAAAGAGGUACAGCAUUUUUUUUAAAAAACCAUACUGCCGCAUGACACUUCCGGUUCUUAUCAGAAUGCUCCAUGUGCGGGGCUGGAGUGUUGGAAGGAACCAAUGCAACAUUUUAAAUAAAACAGGCAGGAUCCUCUUCGUUGAUGUGAUAAAAUCUUACUGACACAACUUCCAGAAAGACAGCUGUAUUAUAACCUGCUUCUUAUUAUGGCAUAAACUGUCAUGGCCUACUUAGGACAAUGCAUCUGAUGAAAUGGGCUCUGGUCUAACAAAGCUUAUGUUCUGAUUUAUUUGUGUAUUAUAUUUAGACUCCACUUCCUCUACACAAAAUUCAAAGGGCCAUACAUAGUUUCCAAGCCUCAUAAGAAGCCCGUCAGACAGGCUAGGCCAAAAGGGUUUGACUGGCCCAAGAUCAUUCACUGGAUCUGCCAGAGGACAUUAUUUCAUCCAGGCAAAAGCACUCAAGGUGGACCAUAGAGCAGGACAAGUGAGAGGUGUUGCCUGGGAAGAGACCUCCUGAGGAAAAGAUAGGGGGGCAUGGAGGGCCAUAUUCAGUUUUCAGACCUGAGGUUCUCCACAAGAACUAAGGGACUUUUGCCCUCCAUGUAAAAAAACAACUAAGCAGCAUGGUGUGUUGACUCACCAGACUCAGUUUUUACAUUCAUAUAGGUAGUAUAAAAGAGUACUGUUGUAAAAGUUUUAGUGGAAGUGCAAAGCCUAAUAUGGACAAAUUUGCUCAGGUUAUAGGUAACCUAUAAAGCACUGCAAAUAUAUUAGGGAAUGUAAAUACAUUAGGAAAUACCAGGCAGACUAUCAGAAUUAUCUUCAUGUACAAGUCUGAAUUAAAGUGUAGGGAGCUUCCUUUUUCAUCCAAAAUUCCAGAUUAGGCCUACAUUCUUAAAAAAUAUAAUCUCCUGAGCUCAGAAAUAUAAUGCAAACAGAGCCCAUUAGGGUUCUGUCUCUGAAACUAGUUUCUCUUCAACUGUUUUCUUGACAGAUGCUGUGACAGCACAAUUAUAAAUAGCCAAUACAUGAAUUACUGAGGUACAUCUGGAACCAGCAGUGUGGUCUUAAACAGAUUGACUUAGAAGGAAGCCCUUCUAAGUUAACUGUAAUGUAUUCCUAAUAAGAAUGCUUAGGACUGCAGCCUCCGUCUCUACUAAAUCAUUUUGGGACUCUCUCUUUUUUUCCUUUUUAGUGGGUAAUGAUAUACAAAUUUAAUAAACCAAACUACUACAUUUAUAGUCUCGUCCCUUUUUGUAAAACAGGGGUUCCAGAACUGUGGUUCGUCAACCAUCAGUGGUCUGUAAGCUUCAUUCAAGUGGUCCACAGCAUGUCUGUGGAUUUAAUGCACAUCCAUGGCAUCAAAUGUUCAUAUUGAUUUUUAAUUGUAUUUUUAUAGCUUAUUUUAUUUCUUAUGUUCUUACUGCAUUACAAUUUGAAUGAUAUGGAAUUACAAUUGCCGCAACAGGCAGGAAAAUCAUUAAGUAAUCUGCUAAGACCCUCAGCAAUUUUCAAGUAGUCCAUGGUGGGGAGGGGGAAGUUUGGGUACCACUGUCUUAAAACAAGCUAGAGAAAAAUGGAGGUCAUCACCUCUAUUUCACAUGAUAAAAGUUGAAGAAAAAAUCUGACCUACUGCAUGCUAGAGCCUGCUUGUUCCCCUGCAAGAGCAAUACCAGCCAGAGCUAAUGACCUCACUGUUCAUAUCCUCUCACCUGCUUUGAUGCAAGACAGACAGGCUCAUAAACCACAGGGGAGAAAGGCCUCUAGCUGUGCUUUUUAAGAGAAACAUUUAUCCAGCUAUCACAUAAAGAGACACAUGAGACACUGUUAUCUGGGAACUUGGUUUGGCACCUGGUCCUAAAAUGCUGCUGCUUGAGGUAUUUUGGUUCCUAUUGGCUCUAAUGCAGGCGAGAUUUGAUACAAUACGUAGCUGGUUUCUUUAUGGCCCUUUAUGGACUUUUAUUAGCAUGUACAUAUCAUAUUCUGCAAGAUUUAGGUGAAAUGGGGAAAAAAUUCAACUCAGAAAUAACCACCAGUACUGUACUUUUAUUUGCUAAUAAAUAUCUUAAUAAAUAGUCUUACUCCAUCUGUAAGACCUGAUAAUGCCUCUUAGGAAAUCAUAGAAAAAUAAAAUACAAUAAUCAUCAGUAACUUGUACGUUGUACAAAUAUCUUAUUAUGUUGCUCAGCAUGUAGCUUUGCCAAACCCCAUAUUCUUUCUGCAAAUAGAUGGCAUAUGAAUGCAAUUCACCUUAAAACACCCUAGUUAUGAGAGCUGAGCAUUUUAUUAUACUACUAACUUAUAGGCAUGCCAGCACAUGAAAAUUUACAUGGAACAUCAUAUUAUCAUAGUAGUAGAUCUCAAAUGAGGAAAAUAAUAACACCUCUCAAGUAAAUGUGGAUUACUUCAUCUUUAAUUUCAAACAGGAAAAUGGCUUCAUUUCCCCCUGGGACUGCAGAUCAGUAUGUUAGGCUUUCCUUUGGACAGUUAUUCCUGCAUUACAAUUUAAGAAAAGAAAGGAAAGUGCAAAUUAAAUAUAAGUGGAAGUAUAGUAAAAGGAAAUAACUGUAAACAAUGGUGCAGACCCAAGGGGAAAACAAGUCAGAUUUCUAAAAUUGACACGUAGCCCUUCUCUUCAAACCUGGUGACUUUAGCUUGCAAUUGUCAGUAAGACACAAACAUAUACAUAUUCAUCAUCUAUGAUGGGCAUAGCUUAAUGUCAAAGAGCACAAACUUCCCGUUCAAACUCCUUAGUUGCUCAGAUGCAUAUGAAAAGCAGGAGCAGUCAGUGUGUGUGUGUGUGUGUGUGUGUGUGUGUGUGUGUGUGAUGUCCACAGUCAGAUCAAUUGAAGAAGAUGUUUCAUAUGAAAUGAUCAGUGAAUGUGCAUGCAAAUUGGCUUUCUUCUUUGAAAUGUGAAGCUCUCCCAAUUUCGGAGUACUCAGAGCAAAUUGCUGGAUGAGGGUGAAACGUUGUUGUUGUGAAUUGCUGCAGUUAUAGUUGACUGUAAAAGUGAAAGAAGCAAUAGCAAAAAGCAAGAGUUGUUUAAUAUACAACAUUUUGAAAACAAUAUGGAAAGAUAGGUAUGUGCUGAUGCCACUUAAUGGUUGUAAAAAAAUCAUCUAUUUGUUUGUUUAUUAAUUGUCAUUAUAUUUAGGUAUAAUAAUACUGCCAUUUUGAAGCCAUGUACCUCGUGUUUUGAAAUUGUUAUUUUAAUUGCUGUGUAAAUAAUUUGCGAACAUAUCAUUUAACAAAUUUUAUGACUGGGCCUGUGAAGCAAAUUAUUUUAGUAUAGCAGUCAAAUGAACAUAAAGACAAAAAAUGAAAAAAAUUAUUUUAAUAUUCAUAUAUUUCAGGUUUUGAGGAAGCUCAAGGAAGAAAACAAACUAGAAAACAAACUGCAUCGUUAACAUUAGAACCAUUUCAAUCUGUAUUUUGGAGAAUGACAGCCACAUUUCCUAAAUGGAGUAAAUUUCUUAAAAGUCAGGAUCAGGUGAAAUAUUGGA